Molecule: non-coding RNA, 2253 nt
Organism: Podarcis lilfordi (Lilford's wall lizard)
Lineage: Eukaryota; Metazoa; Chordata; Lepidosauria; Squamata; Lacertidae
Source: the annotation of a GenBank genome assembly
CAAGACCAUGUGCGGCUCUUUCUAGGUAGUUUCCCUUCCCGCUCCCUCUCUUGUAGAAGCAAAAGGGGGCUGAGCAGCAGAGGGCCGGGUGGCAGCCCCCCCUCGGAGACAGACUCUCCCCCCUGCUGGGGACUUCACUUUUUCGUUAUUCGUUUCCUUUGUUUUCUAGUGAGGAGGACUAUUGUGACGCCUCUUCCCAGGUGCCGCCAUGCAAAUCCCCGCAGAAGACGCUCCCGCGAGCUUCACUGCAAGGUCACAAAAGGGCAACGGCGGCGUCACGGCGUGGAGGGGGAGGGCGUGGAGGAAGUGCUCGCAGAUUCCCAGACCCACAACCAGAUCCCUCCUUCCUUCCCUGGACGGAUUGUCCAGACACGUGAAACCCUUCAGACGGCUGCAGAAGUGGGGUGGGGGAAAGCCGCCUAGGCGGGUAUAGUCUGGAAUAAGCACCACAGUGAGGGUGGGGGUUUACUCUCCCGCAACUGCAUGGACGCGGGUGGCGCUGUGGGUUAAACAACAGAGCCUAGGACUGUUCGAAUCCCCGCGACGGGGUGAGCUUCUGUUGCUCGGUCCCUGUUCCUGCCAACCUAGCAGUUCGAAAGCACCUCAAAGUGCAAGUAGAUAAAUAGGUACCGCUCCAGUGGGAAGGUAAACGGCGUUUCCGUGCACUGCUCUGGUUCGCCAGAAGCGGCUUAGUCAUGCUGGCCACAUGACCCAGAAGCUGUACGCUGGCUGCCUCAGCCAAUAAAGCGAGAUGAGCACAGCAACCCCAGAGUCGGUCACGACUGGACCUAAUGGUCAGGGGUCCCUUUUGCCUUUUACCUUUAAGUCCAUGUAAGAUUGCAACUGCAUGAGCGCAGUCCUCUCUGCACCUUUAAGCUGUAGGCCCUGCAAAGUUCAGUAGCUUAGAUAUCUAACUGAGCAAUGGGGGAUCAUGACACUUCUGGAAUAGUUCAGUCUUGUCCAAGGGCCUGGGGGAGCAGGUGGGCCAGCUUCCGCAUCACCGUCACUGGGCCCAAGAGAAUUUCACUGAAUUUUUUUCUCUCCUUUGACAAUCUUUUGAAUGAAAUCUAGAGUUUGUAUUCAACAGAAGAAGUUUGUCGUUUAGUCGUGUCCGACUCUUCGUGACCCCAUGGACCAAAGCAUGCCAGGCACUCCUGUCUUCCACUGCCCCCCGCAGUUUGGUCAAACUCAUGCUGGUAGCUUUGACAACACUAUCCAACCAUCUCGUCCUCUGUCGUCCCCUUCUCCUUGUGCCCUCAAUCUUUCCGAACAUCAGGGUCUUUUCUAGGGAGUCUUCUCUUCUCAUGAAGUGGCCAAAGUAUUGGAGUCUCAGCUUCAGGAUCUGUCCUUCCAGUGAGCACUCAGGGCUGAUUUCCUUCAGAAUGGAUAGGUUUGAUCUUCUUGCAGUCCCCGGGACUCUCAAGAGUCUCCUCCAGCACCGUAAUUCAAAAGCAUCAAUUCUUCGGCGAUCUGCCUUCUAUAUGGUCCAGCUCUCACUUCCAUACAUCACUACUGGGAAAACCAUAGCUUUAACUGUACAGACCUUUGUUGGCAAGGUGACGUCUCUGCUUUCUAAGAUGCUGUCUAGGUUUGUCAUUGCUUUUAUCCCAAGAACAGAAGAAGUUACCUUUAGUGAAAUGCGUCUUUGCUUUGAGCACACCUUUCGUUGGAAGGCGUUCAGAAUGAAAUCUUAUUGGAGAAGCAAAGAAGCCAUGCUUGCCCCUUUGUUCUCCAAGAUGACAUUGCCACUCAAGAUUCAGAGAAAACGUGAGAGGAGAUGUAGAAGUGAAAGAGAAUGCCACUUAAUGCAGAUCAGUUUGACUUCAAAGUGCAGCUCAGCACAGAGAUCAAAGGGACUGAGACAGUUUAGGAAUCAGGAGAACUCCCACUCUAUUUGUCAACCUCAUGCAGACUCUUCUGAGCAACCUUCAACAAUUUAUUUGUUCAUUAAUUGAUGGAGAAUGUUUGGGGGAGAUAAUGGAAGACAUUAUCAGCAUGUUAACAGUGCAAAACACCCUUGCCUUUUCAAUUGCCAACAUUUUGCCUGUGACUUUCGUAGGAGCUAAAAUCAUGAAUAAUAAAGUGUCCAUGGAAUUAAAUUUAGGUAAAACUGUACAGUGAAGGAUCCUAAGCACAUAGGGGGAAAUGAGUACAGUUUUCAUCUUACUUGAGAUGAGUACGUUUGUUUAAAUCUCACAGGCACACAUACAAGCUAGUUAUAGCUGCCAUGAAUAAACUUGUUUUGCACCAAAC